GCAGGUGCAUUAGAAGGAAUGUAUAGGAUUACCUUCAGGCCAUAUGUAUACGGUAUAUAGGACUCAUAAAGGAGCUAUAGAUUCAGGGCCAUCCCCAAGACAUCUCGUUAUAUAUAUGCAAAUAUCUCCCAAUUCUCCUGCGAAAAAAGAAUCCCGAAUCUGAAACACUUAUGAUCCCAGGCAUUUUGGAUAAGGAUACUCAGCCUAUACCUACCCCCUGUAUAAAGUAGUGAGAGAGUUAAGAAGAGAGUGAUGACAACUGCUUACUCCAUGACAAGUGCCAAAAGGGGAUCUCUCGUUGGCACUGUUCACACCCCCAUUGCACUGCUCUGUCCUCUGUUUAACAUGGGCUUUGCCAAAUGUGUGGGAACAAGGGCAAGACCUGUCCAGCUUGUGGCCUUGAAUGUCACCCCAUCCUUCUCUGAUGUCACAAUCUGAGCUGCAGCCCGAAGAUGUGAACUCUUAACAACCCCUGAACCCAGCCCCCUCCUCCCACAGGCUUCUUACCACCCACCUGCACAUCACAUCUGGGGCCUCUGUCUCCAUCCUACCCUUCCGUGAGCCCGUGCAAGUCCAGUUCCAAGUCAGUGCCAACUCAGGACAGCGGCUUCAGUGUGAGGCCCUCGCUCACCAGGGGAUUAACCCGUCAGGCUGCCAAAUGAGAAGGGAAAGAGCAGGCGCAGGCCCUGACAAGAGGCCCAAGAUGCCGUCGAAAUCAAAACAAAUCCACCUGCUUAAGGAAGACUCGGCCCGCACAGCGACCUCGCCCUACAGACGUCUGUGGCAAGUGCUCUCCUCGCAGCCCCUGAUGUGGCGCUUGCCCAUUUACGGCUGCCUGAUCGCAGUAUUUCUCACGAUUGUGUUUGCACUGUUGUACAACAACUUUAUGUAAUCAUCGCUUCUCACGCCGAAUAAAACCUUUGCACCUGAAA
Oryctolagus cuniculus (rabbit) is the source of this 932-nucleotide non-coding RNA. NCBI's taxonomy places the organism in Eukaryota, Metazoa, Chordata, Mammalia, Lagomorpha, Leporidae. The record is from RefSeq and is a predicted model, not a curated record.